This 440-nucleotide ribosomal RNA is filed under the name uncultured bacterium. RNAcentral's name for it is "partial 16S ribosomal RNA". It matches the Rfam family "Bacterial small subunit ribosomal RNA", at positions 338 to 795 of the family's 1533-position model. The record is from RNAcentral.
CCUACGGGUGGCAGCAGUGGGGAAUAUUGCACAAUGGGGGAAACCCUGAUGCAGCGACGCCGCGUGAGUGAAGAAGCAUUUCGGUGUGUAAAGCUCUAUCAGCAGGGAAGAAAAUGAAGGUACCUGAGCAAAAAGGCCCGGCCAAACUCGUGCCAGCAGCCGCGGUAAUACGUAGGGGGCCAGCGUUAUCCGGAUUUACUGGGUGUAAAGGGAGCGUAGACGGGCGUGUAAGUCCGGAGUGAAAGGCGGGGGCUCAACCCGCGGACUGGUGUGGAAACUGUACGGCUUGAGUGUGGGAGAGGUAAGCGGAAUUCCUGGUGUAGCGGUGAAAUGCGUAGAUAUUAGGAGGAACACCGGUGGCGAAGGCGGCUUACUGGACUAUAACUGACGUUGAGGCUCGAAAGCGUGGGGAGCAAACAGGAUUAGAUACCCUGGUAGUC